This is a non-coding RNA of Dissoconium aciculare CBS 342.82, 93 nucleotides long. Lineage: Eukaryota; Fungi; Ascomycota; Dothideomycetes; Mycosphaerellales; Dissoconiaceae. The record is from the annotation of a RefSeq genome assembly.
GCGUUGGUGGUUUAGUGGUAAAAUUAGCCGUUGCCAAGGUAUUGCGAAAUACUCAGCAUCGGCUAGCCCCGGGUUCGAUUCCCGGCCGACGCA